ACGUGCUUUCCUGUAUUUAAAUGAAAGUCUCACUUGUAUACUGUCCAGAUUUUAUUCCUCCUCGUUGUGCAGAGGUAAAGUCGUUCAGCUCGUAUAGUACUUGUGCAAACAUGAAGAGAAGCAUCUCAGUUGUCCUUUACCUGUCUCUAUCAUGCAUCUUUCACGUCUCUGCUGCGGCAGCUGUUUAUGGGAACUGCACAGAUAUCGAGGGCCACCACUACGAGCUUCCAGGGAAAGGCCGUAAAACAGAUCACGAGGGCUGCAUAAUCGUAAAUGAUCACUCUGACCCAUGCCAGUACGCCUGCUAUAUGCCCUAUGUACCACGAAAAGAAGUGUUACGGCGGCGAAACAAGCCGGAGGGAGCUUGGUGUCCGAUAUAUGUUAAUCGUGGUACCUCUAUAAGGCAAGACGUUGUUAUGACUCCCGGCGGAUGCAGAGACGGGCACUGCAAGUACAACUGAAACGCGGGGUACUUUCCUUCUUGCCCGCGCGGCUCGUCUCUUCAGUCUUCACUCGUCUACUGGUGUCGGUGCCGUCGGUGUCUGAUUGUUUCCUUCCUUCACAGCAAUAUUGGAAAUAUCUUACAGCGAAUGGUCUUUCUCAAUAAAGACGUGCACAGUUGUCAAAUCUU
Molecule: long non-coding RNA, 631 nt
Organism: Ornithodoros turicata
Lineage: Eukaryota; Metazoa; Arthropoda; Arachnida; Ixodida; Argasidae
Exons: 5
Source: RefSeq, a predicted model, not a curated record